This is a non-coding RNA of Osmia lignaria (orchard mason bee), 489 nucleotides long. NCBI's taxonomy places the organism in Eukaryota, Metazoa, Arthropoda, Insecta, Hymenoptera, Megachilidae. The record is from RefSeq and is a predicted model, not a curated record.
CUCUCUUGUAUUAAUAGUUCAUUUGUCACUUAACAGAUUUAUUUAUCUUGUAAAGACUCUAGAAAUAUUGAGCUUGGUCUGGUUCUUGUAAAUGAAAAUGAUCACAUAAAUGAAGGCAGAUGGAAGAGGUUGGAAGGGAUAAAUCGCAGGCAGGUGGAAUUCGAGGCAUUAAAAAUUGCGCCAAACCUUAGAUCUAAAGAUAAUUUGUAACGUUCUUAAAUUAAUCUGUCGAUAUAGUACAAUUAAAAUCCUCGACUUACAUGUACAUAUAUAAUGUGUAUGUGUACGCGUGUCUGUGUAGUCUCGUGACAUAUGUAUAUGCAUAUAGCUAUAGUAUAUCUCAUCGUAACAACAGAUUUAUAAUUUAUUUUAUUAUUUGUUAUUUAACAAAUAUCUCAUGAAACGAUAGUAAAGGUACAAUGGCGGCUGGUUAAUUAUGGCUGUUUUAUAGAUUGAGAAAUAAACGUGGCUAACAUUUUAUGUACUCAA